AUGCACAUCACCUAGAGAUCUUGUUGCAAUGCAGAUUCCCAUUCAGGAGAUCUGGGUGGCUGCCUUCCUAAUUAGCUCCCAGGUGAUGUCAAU
Molecule: microRNA precursor, 93 nt
Filed under: Marmota monax (woodchuck)
Lineage: Eukaryota; Metazoa; Chordata; Mammalia; Rodentia; Sciuridae
Source: RNAcentral